UAAGGGAGGGGCGACGGGACGGCUUCCGUCCCCAUCGACCAACUGCCCCCAAUUCCGCAUUCCAAUCCAAACGGCGGCCGCCUCCCGGCCCUCCGGCGUCGUCGCCUCAACGGCGAGGGACAGAGGGGCCCGGCUCGCCGUCCUCCUCCCAUGAAGGAGAAUUUACUCCCGUCGCUGCGCAAGCCAUCCUGUCGCUUGUCUCGACGAUGCGCCACCGCGUGCUGACGCCGACGCUCUGCGCCGUCGCGCCGUUCGACAUCCGUUGGCUGCUGCCGAAGCCGCGCCUCACCGACUCCAUGCGCCGUUCGACAUCCGUUGGCUGCUGCCGAAGCCGCGCCUCACCGACUCCAUGCGCCGUUCGACAUCCGUUGGCUGCUGCCGAAGCCGUGCCUUACCGGCCCCAAGCGGUCAUGGCCGCUGCGCACACCAUGUACGUGGUGCCGCCAACGCCACUGAUGCGGGCGAGUGGUUUUCGCCUGUUACCUCCCGGCUGCAUGUGCGUGAUGUGGCUGACGAAUUCCUUCUUCUUGCUUGGAGUAUCGAUUAUAUCUCCUGCGCAUAGGCUACAUGCCGAUUAGUUGUUAGAUCGUUGAUUUAAUCACAAAAGACAGCUCCUGCCUCAUAUUUUGUAGGGAUGCAUGAUCUUCUUUGCCACGGAUGGCCUGGCCUGGUGUCUCACUUCCUCUCUUCUGUGAUCUUGGGCGUGGCCUCAUAACCGUCGUCAAUGCCGACGCCGAAGUUCACUGCUGAAGUCUGCGUCCCUGCGUCGCUUGGUCGCCAUUGUUUGAAUGUGAAGAUCGUACGUAAUCGAUGCCUCCUAUUCUUCCAACAAUUUUCUCUCCCAUGGAGUUCGCCGGACAUGAGACUGCCAGAGUUGCUGCCUCGAUUCUCGCUGGGGACGGCGAAGUUCCUCUGGCCUAUUCGCUCUCUGCGGAGAGACGUGCGUGAUUGAUAAUGUGUUGAUUUCCGGUGAUGCGCAUUCAGUGGGAGGAGACAUUCCCGUUGAUGACGAAGUGCCUACGACGACUUCGUAAAUUUCAAGAUGAUAUGCCGGCUCAGUUUUUUGGAGGUGCUCUCAAUAGUUAGCAUCUGCACGUUGCAGUACAGAGAGGAUUAUCCCUUUAAUUAUAAAUUAAUUAAAUCCUAACAGGUCCAAGUAGAGCCUGCAAAAUGCAAGUUCCGAUAACCUGUUGGCCAAAGCAGGCAUCCGCACCUUGAGGCCUCCUUUGGUUUGUAGGAACUCUAUAGGAUAGGAUUUGCAAAGGAAAAAUUCCUUUGAAGCCCUUUGAUUUAUAGGAAUGGAUUUCUGUUCCUAUGUAGGAUAGGAAUCAAUCCUUCAUAUUUUGGAGGAAAAAAAAUUAGGCUAGACUCUGUGGAAAAAUUCCUAUCAUAUGCACCAAAUGGUAUCUCUUUCUUUAAAGGAAUUGAGAUGCAUGUCAUCUCACUUCCUAUGAUUUUCAUAUUCCUAUAAAAUUCCUAUCGUAUGAACCAAAGGAGGCCUGAGUUAGCUCAACCCUCGAUAGAGGAUCUCAUAUUUGACACUCUAAAUUGAAAUUUGUCUUUUUUGUGGAGAUAGAACGAAAAAACGUUUUUUUCACCAAAACUUUGUGCCGCGCACACACACAUUGGUGAACAUGUAUGCGUGAAGAUUUUCUUUUGAGUUUUUCGACAUUUUAAAUUGUGUUUGAAAUGCAUAUUUUUUUUCAAAAAAUGGGUGCAUAUGCCCAUGGGUUCAGGACGUGCUGACUCCACAGUUAGGCGUACAUCUCUACUCCUAUAAAAAACCGAGUUGGUGGUGAUGGUGUGCCUGCCAUCCAUCAAUCUCGACCAUUAGAUCUGGAUCCGACGAAGGAGAGGCAACCCACUUUAUAACCACCUUAUCCAACCAGGCAACCAAAAUCACUCGAUCCUUCUUGAAAAGGGGAGAACGAUGUAAACAAGCCUUGAUUUCUUGAUGGAACCAGUGGCCGCUGCCGCUGCCGCUGCAUGCGCCGCCGGCGCUGGUUGUUCCAGACCCCUCUCUUGACUCCUCUCUGCCGCCACCGCUCACUAGAAACUGUCUACUAUAGUAUCUGUAAGCAAUGACCACUGGUUAUAGUUUCUUAUCCAAAAUCUUCUUGUGGAUGAAAUUUUGAGUAUCGGAGAUGUUGGUGUGUACCUCCCUGAACUGGUAUUUUCACACAGGCAACUCUAUGUUACUCUUUGUAGAGAUAUAUCUAAAAGUAACAUAAAUAUUCUUACUCUUUCGGAUAAGCAAGGGAAGGCCAGUCCAACCCCAUUGCAAAUUUUUCAAAGAAAUGUUCUACAAUUAGGUCUCAAUGUGUAGUCCAAGGUAUAAAUCAAGUACAAUUUGGUGGCAGUAAAAAUAAUAAUUUAUUUAAUAUGUUUAGUCAUCUAAAAUUGCUUCGCAUGUAAGGUCCGGAAGUUUGGACUUCCAGAAAAAAUAACUUCAGAAAUUUGCUUUAGUGUUCAUGAUAUUCUUGUAAAAAAAAUCAUACAUGUGUUUAAAUUAUUUUUUGGUAGUUCUCAUUGUUACUUCCGUUGUUCGAAAAAUUUGGAUGACGCCUACAACAGGUCUCUAUGUCAUUGAUGCCCCUCCUUUUAUUGGUAGCUCCACAUCCAAUUUUUCAGGUGGGCAGAUGGAGAUGUACCGUGCUUCAAAAAUUAUUCCCUGGCGUGAUCUAAGGUAUGUAACUAAUUAAGUGGAACUAGAUGUGUGAGUUAUGUCUGAACUCUUCUUGGUGGUGUUGUAUACAAAUUCAUUUUUCUUGCGUAUAUUUACGAAAUCAUUCGGUUAAACACUUCUACUUCAUUCAUGUUUGUCUUGGAACUAUUAAUAUAAGUGUGUACUAUUUGGAUAUAUUAAUUGCUGCAAUUAUCUUCACAUUUAAGUCCGGUGUGCCUAAUAUAUUGGCAUGAAAUGGGCAAUGUUGACUUCCUGGAUGAACGGUAACUGAAUAGCUUGUUUGCUUUGUACAACCUUUCCAAGGAAAGAAGCAAUUCUCUGUUGCAGUAGUUUGUUGCAGUGGUUCUAAGGCUGGACAUGAUAAUAUGUAUUUUAGAUCACAGGCUGUGCUUGAAAUUUUGGAGGUCUGGUGUGGGGGCAGUUGUCGCAUCUUUUACAAUUUCACAAUUCGGAGUUAUCAGUUGUGACGCUCGCACGGCUUGCAAUUGACGAAGCCAAUGUUGGAAGGAUGUUGACGCAUGGAACAUCAUUUGACAUAGUAGUCUAGCUUAGUGAGCCCCGGUCAUUUUUUGGUACUUGUAUAUAAUCUCUUUUGCAUGCAAGUUAAGUGUUUUACUUUUUUGUUUUCCUUUUCCAUGUGACUUCUCCUAGCCAAUUAAUGAUUGUGGUAUGUUUGUGAGACUAUAAUACACUUUUAGCAAACUACUUUUGCAAUAUUCAAUCUUGGUUGAUCAUGCGAGCUUGCAGUAUAUCUUCGAGAUACUAUUAUGUGAUAUGUGAUAUGAUUCUUUUUUUUUCAA
Triticum dicoccoides is the source of this 3486-nucleotide RNA transcript. RefSeq lists it as uncharacterized. Lineage: Eukaryota; Viridiplantae; Streptophyta; Magnoliopsida; Poales; Poaceae. The transcript is spliced from 3 exons. The record is from RefSeq and is a predicted model, not a curated record.